Molecule: ribosomal RNA, 513 nt
Filed under: uncultured bacterium
Lineage: Bacteria
Description: partial 16S ribosomal RNA
Rfam family: Bacterial small subunit ribosomal RNA
Source: RNAcentral
GACGAACGCUGGCGGCGUGCUUAACACAUGCAAGUCGAACGAAAAGAGGGAAAGAGCUUGCUCUUUCCGGAAUUGAGUGGCAAACGGGUGAGUAACACGUAAACAACCUGCCUUCAGGAUGGGGACAACAGACGGAAACGACUGCUAAUACCGAAUAAGUUCCAAGGGCCGCAUGUCCCAUGGAAGAAAAGGUGGCCUCUACCUGUAAGCUAUCGCCUGAAGAGGGGUUUGCGUCUGAUUAGCUGGUUGGAGGGGUAACGGCCCACCAAGGCGACGAUCAGUAGCCUGUCUGAGAAGAUGAACGGCCACAAUGGAACUGAGAAACGGUCCAGACUCCUAAGGGAGGGCGCAGUGGGGAAUCUUCCGCAAUAGGCGAAAGCCUGACGGAGCAACGCCGGGGGAGUGAUGGAGGCUCUCGGGUUGUAAAACUCUGUGAUCCGGGACGAAAAGGCAGAGUGCGAAGAACAAACUGCAUUGACGGUACCGGAAAAGCAAGCCACGGCUAACUACGUG